Long non-coding RNA from Saccostrea cuccullata (small rock oyster), 658 nucleotides. RefSeq lists it as uncharacterized. The record is from RefSeq and is a predicted model, not a curated record. Lineage: Eukaryota; Metazoa; Mollusca; Bivalvia; Ostreida; Ostreidae. The transcript has 5 exons.
ACAAAACCAACCCCCAUGUUGUUUUUUGACGUGGGUACAACGUUUUAGCGCUCUUCGCUCAUUGGAUGACUCACUUUUGGAGAACCAAUUAGCACGAGCAAAACUGAGCCAAUCAGUAGCAAGUAUAUUCCCUAAAAAAGGAUAUAAGCACGAGAGCUCUAGGAUCAGCAUCAGUUGCUUUCAACGCAUUGCGAAGGAAGGACGCAAAAUGGAAACCUCCAAGCUCAUUCAAUCUUCCGCCAUUCUUGGCACAUUUCUUUCAUCAACAGGCCGUGCCCUGCAUCUAGACAUGUAUAAAUUGGGUUGUGAUGUAUGCCAAUUUAGUAAAGAGAUGGGUGCCACACUAGGGAGAAUGUGCAGAUGAGACUGGCUUUAACAGCUCUGAUGAACGAUGCCGAAGAAGCCGAGAAACCAUUAGAUUUGAAGUUGAGCGCUCUAUCCCAGGAACAGAAAAAUUUAAGCAAGUGGCUGAACUUCCACACUGAUAUGUUCAGCAUCAGACUGAACAGCAUGGAGAGCCAAGCUCACAAAGCAUCACAGAGCCGUAGAUACAGAAGAUGAAGUAUUGAGCCAGAGCGCCCAUGAACUUUGCAUCAGCGAAUUUUUAAAUCAUAUUAAAACAGUUAAAUAUGUUCUAAUAAAGUAUUGUUGUUUGAAA